UACGGAGGGUGCAAGCGUUGUCCGGAUUUAUUGGGUUUAAAGGGUGCGUAGGCGGCCCGGUAAGUCAGUGGUGAAAGCCUCCAGCUCAACUGGAGAACUGCCAUUGAUACUGCCGGGCUUGAGUACAGACGAGGUUGGCGGAAUUGAUUGUGUAGCGGUGAAAUGCAUAGAUACAAUCAAGAACUCCGAUUGCGUAGGCAGCUAACUAGGCUGUAACUAACGCUGAGGCACGAAAGCGUGGGGAGCGAACAGG
This 253-nucleotide ribosomal RNA is filed under the name uncultured bacterium. Its description in RNAcentral is "partial 16S ribosomal RNA". It matches the Rfam family "Bacterial small subunit ribosomal RNA", at positions 524 to 776 of the family's 1533-position model. The record is from RNAcentral.